UAAAUACACACACACAGAUCCAUACAUACACACAUACAGACCCAUACAUACACACAAACAGACCCAUGUGUAGACUGACAUACACAAACAUAUUGACUGACUGACACAGACUGAGAUACACUGCAAGUUCUCUCUUACCUGCAUUGCACUUUGCUCUUCGUUCCUGUCUUCUUUACUGCGCCUGGCGGCCGACACCUUUUUCCCAGUCCCAUUUCCUGUUAUUCUCCUGCCCACUGGUC
Molecule: non-coding RNA, 239 nt
Organism: Pelobates cultripes (western spadefoot toad)
Lineage: Eukaryota; Metazoa; Chordata; Amphibia; Anura; Pelobatidae
Source: the annotation of a GenBank genome assembly